CACAAGCGGUGGAGCAUGUGGUUUAAUUCGAUGCAACGCGAAAAACCUUACCUACCCUUGACAUGUCCGGAAUCCUGAAGAGAUUUGGGAGUGCUCGCAAGAGAACCGGAACACAGGUGCUGCAUGGCUGUCGUCAGCUCGUGUCGUGAGAUGUUGGGUUAAGUCCCGCAACGAGCGCAACCCUUGUCAUUAGUUGCCACCAUUCAGUUGGGCACUCUAAUGAGACUGCCGGUGACAAACCGGAGGAAGGUGGGGAUGACGUCAAGUCCUCAUGGCCCUUAUGGGUAGGGCUUCACACGUCAUACAAUGGUCGGUACAGAGGGUCGCCAACCCGCGAGGGGGAGCCAAUCCCACAAAGCCGAUCGUAGUCCGGAUUGGAGUCUGCAACUCGACUCCAUGAAGUCGGAAUCGCUAGUAAUCGUGGAUCAGCAUGUCACGGUGAAUACGUUCCCGGGUCUU
RNAcentral lists this ribosomal RNA (459 nucleotides) under uncultured Rhodocyclaceae bacterium. RNAcentral's name for it is "bacterial SSU rRNA". It matches the Rfam family "Bacterial small subunit ribosomal RNA", at positions 924 to 1382 of the family's 1533-position model. Lineage: Bacteria; Pseudomonadati; Pseudomonadota; Betaproteobacteria; Rhodocyclales; Rhodocyclaceae. The record is from RNAcentral.